RNAcentral lists this long non-coding RNA (1066 nucleotides) under Monodelphis domestica (gray short-tailed opossum). RNAcentral's name for it is "lncRNA (ENSMODG00000039371.1)". Lineage: Eukaryota; Metazoa; Chordata; Mammalia; Didelphimorphia; Didelphidae. The record is from RNAcentral.
UGGAUCAGGAAGACAGAACACUGCCAACGUCUUUUCCAAUUCUCCUCCCAUUAGGAGUUACAUUUUCCAGUAAUUGCCUGCAGUUCCCAAAGACAGCCUAACCUUUUUGCUUAAUAUCAUGUUUAAUAAAGACUCUCUCUUAGUAUAUUUUGAGUGAAUUCAGUACUCAUUAAAGUGAGGGAGAAAUAACAAGGGUGUUACAGGCCUGCAUAAUAAAGAGAUCGCCUCACAAUGCUUCCCCAAUAGUGUCAUUAGUGUUUACACCUCAAUCCUUACCUACAGUGAGGACACUGAAAUUACAUCUUUAAUUAUCUGUUGUUUUUAUGAUGUGUGCACAGCUGGAUGUUCCUGGUACUGAACCCGGCACCUUAUAGGAGGCUAAUAAAUAUGACAUCAAAUUGGAUCAAUCCCAAGGGACCUUUGGCAAUACAGGACGAGGGCCAUGGGCAAUGAUUUAUUCUCGAGAAGCCUUUCGGUUGGACUCUAAGAUACAAAUCUGUGAUCCUCUGAUUCAGGUAUUCUUAAUUUUUUUUAAAUCAUUAACCCCUUUGGCAGUGUGGGGAAGGCUACUGACCACUUCUUAGAAUAGUGUUUCCAAACACAUAAAAUUAAAUGCAAAGUAUUAAAAGGAAGCCAGUCCAAAUCUACUCAUAGAUGCCUGGGCAAGAACCUCUAUUAAAAUCUAAAUGUGGGACUAAUAAGCAAGCUGCUCUAUAAUAGGGGUGCUAUCAUCAUUGAUAGAGUACACAACCCAGGAAAUCAGGGAUCCUUGAAAUGGUAAAGAGACGACAAAAUAGUGGCUCUGCAGGCACUGCAGUCACUGAAGUCAACAGGAGUUGAAUAUGUUCAAUGGGGAAAGAAAGAAUUUAUCUGUAGGAGUUUUUAAUUGAUGGACUAUUGCAGUCUCUCUGGAAGAUAGCCAAUCACUGGCAGACAAAAUCCUUUGUUAACCUUUGCUUGGAGAAUUCAUACUUCAUUAUAUAUUUGAGAUAAAGACACUAAAGGCUUUGGAAGAUGACUUCCUACUACAAAUAAAUGAAUUUAGUGGGAUUGCCGCUAUACUUUA